RNAcentral lists this transfer RNA (126 nucleotides) under Fusarium acuminatum. RNAcentral's name for it is "tRNA-Leu". It matches the Rfam family "tRNA". From Rfam's summary of the family: Transfer RNA (tRNA) molecules are approximately 80 nucleotides in length. Their secondary structure includes four short double-helical elements and three loops (D, anti-codon, and T loops). Lineage: Eukaryota; Fungi; Ascomycota; Sordariomycetes; Hypocreales; Nectriaceae. The record is from RNAcentral. RNAcentral also lists the same sequence under 1 other name.
AGCAGCUUGGCGCAGUGGAAGCGCGGUAAGUUCAAUCACACAUUCUGUGUUACAGUACAAAUGUACUAACUUGCCUUAGCCGGGCUCAUAACCCGGAGGUCACUGGAUCGAAACCAGUAGCUGCUA